GGCAAGUUGAUUACCAUAUAUACAUAAAAAUUUUGCAUUACUUUUUAUGGAACAGAUACUGCGCUCAUUCCACUUCAUGCUAUCGUUGGCUGCAUUCUUUAUACAUUUGAAUCACAGACACACAUUUAUAAUAUAUCCAUGUUUGCUUAGAAUUAAUAAAAUUAGGGUUAAUGAACAAAUAAUUUGAAAAUUUUCUCAUGUUUUAAAUUAUGGUUGAAACAUUUUUUUUUUGCCAAUUGUAUCUUGAGAUUUAAUUUCAAUUGCACCCAUCCUAAAUUUCUUGGUCUAGGGGUUUGUGUCACAUCCGUCUUGCAUGGUUCUAAAAUACCCUUUGAUUUCACAUUACAAGGGAAAUAAUUGCAGGAAAAUGGAUUAUAGCAUUUGAAUUUCAUGGGCUGUCAAUAUUCCUAAAACCCUAACUCAUAUAUUGGGCAAAAGAUGGAGAAAGAAAGAGAAAAUUGAUAUUAGCUCUCAAGCAGAUAUAAAUAUAGAAUGCAGAACAUAAAGCUAGAGAAUUUGAGGAUGACAACAAUUGAAAUCAAAUCCUUUAGCUCUGAUUAUAAUUUUAGAAAGUUAAAAUUUUGAUGAACUAAAUUUUCUUUUCUUUUGUGUUGGAUUGUUAAUUUUGUCAUCAACCCUUAAAUUUAAUAUUUACUUUUCUUUCUAAUUAUAUUAUAGUAAAAGAUUGUUAUUGGUGAAAUUUAAGUGACUUAUUCAUUAGAAUAUUGCUUUUUUAGAAUUUCACCUCUCGAGGCUCAUGUUGUUAUGUACCUAUGGUUUGAUCAUCCAAGAAGUUUUUAAAGAUUUUAGACAAAAGCCAAAGAACCGUUAUGUAAUGCAAUUGAAACUGUCAUUUUCCCCUGAUGUGCUCAUUAUAUUGCACUUUUUGUGUAAGUUGUAUUUAUAUUGAAGAGAGAUUUGAAAAUUGACAAGAAAAUUGAGGGACUUGUAUCAUCUUCAAUCCCUUGAGACUAUAUAAUACUCAUGCAUACUUCUAAAUUUCAAUUUUGGUCUCAACAAAACCCAAAAAAUGCUGGUGGUUUAGGAAGUUUUCAGCUGAAAGAGAGAAAAGGAAAAAAGAAAAAAAUUAUAUAUAUAUACACACACACACAUAUAGAUAGAUAUAGAUAUAUGCAUUUUACAUAUAUACCUGUGAAUCUUCCUGGUUUGUGUAUUUUGGAGCUUUUUUUGGGCUCUUGAGGGUUAAAUGGAUUGUAUUUGAGAAGGGAUUUUCUGAAACAGGAUCUUUCAAAUUUUUAGAGGGUACUGUUACUGGUGCGUUUUGAUUUGUUGGAGAAAAAUGGCAACUGAGCAAGUAUUGCCUUUCUCUGUGGUUUCUGUUGUGGAGGAAAUUCUUCAACAACAUGGGAAUGGAACUGGGACUAGAUCAAGAGAAAUUGAUUUGGCUUCAAGAAAAGCUGAUGAAGCUUCCCUUAGAAGGUAUGAAGCAGCUGGGUGGCUUCGAAAAAUGAUUGGAGUUGUUGGGGGUAAAGAUUUGCCUGCAGAACCCUCGGAAGAAGAAUUCCUGCUUGGAUUGCGAAGUGGGAUAAUCUUGUGCAAUGUCAUUAACAAGGUUCAACCUGGAGCAGUGCCAAAGGUGGUGGAAGGCCCUUGUGAUUCUGUCACGGUUCCUGAUGGGGCAGCUCUAUCUGCAUUUCAGUACUUUGAAAAUGUAAGAAACUUCCUUGUUGCUGUGGAGGAAAUGGGCCUUCCAACCUUUGAAGCCUCUGAUCUGGGGCAGGGAGGGAAAUCUGCUCGAGUUGUGAACUGCGUAUUAGCACUUAAAUCAUAUAACGAGUGGAAACAAAAUGGUGGAGUUGGAACAUGGAAAUAUGGUGGAAGUUUAAAACCCCAACACAGUGGAACUGGGAAACCCUUCAUGAGAAAAGUUACAGAACCUUUCAUGAAUUCCUUUUCGCGGACCACGUCUUUGCCCAGUGGUGGUGAUCAUUUUUCCUACGAUGAUCUUGGCCAUGACCUCAAUGAAUCAAGUGCCUCUCGUUCGUUGCACAUGCUUGUGCGUGCAGUUAUUUCGAAUAAGAAGCAAGAAGAAAUACCAUAUAUUGUAGAAUCUAUGUUGAAUAAAGUCAUGGAGGAGUUUGAGCGUCGACUUGUGAGCCAACAAGAACUGAUGAAAGCAACAGCAAAAGACUUGGUAGCAUCUAGCCCUGGCAUGUCUCUUGAAACAACAUCUAGUGAUAUAAAGAUGGAAGAAGAAACUUCUACACCAAUCAAAGCAGCAGAAGCUUCCUCAGGAAUCACAGCAGAAGAAUACUGCAGUCAAGAGGAUGAUCAUCAUGAUGAGAAAUCAAAAAUUCAGCUUUUGAAGCAGCAAAUGAUGGUGGAACAGCAACAUAAACAUAUUCAGGAACUGAAACAUGCCCUUCACUCCACGAAAACAGGAAUGCAGUUUUUGAAGAUUAAGUAUCAGGAGGAGUUCAACAUUCUAGGCAAGCACUUGUAUGGCCUAGCUCAUGCUGCUUCAGGAUACCAGAGAGUCCUUGAAGAAAACCGCAAGUUAUACAAUCAAGUUCAGGACCUCAAAGGAAAUAUUAGAGUAUACUGCCGAGUGAGACCCUUCUUGCCUGGGCAACCAAACCGUUUCAGUACUGUGGAUCACAUAGAAGAAGGAAACAUUACAAUAAUCACUCCUUCAAAAUAUGGCAAAGAAGGAAGAAAAUCAUUUAAUUUCAACAAAGUUUUUGGUCCCACGGCAACUCAAGAGGAAGUAUUUGCAGACACUCAGCCUUUGAUUCGGUCGGUUCUUGAUGGAUACAAUGUUUGUAUAUUUGCUUAUGGCCAAACAGGAUCUGGGAAAACUUAUACUAUGAGUGGCCCGGAUGAACUUACAGAGGAGAGCCAAGGUGUAAACUACAGGGCAUUGAGUGAUCUUUUUCUUCUGUCAGAUCAAAGAAAGGAAAUUAUUUGCUAUGAAAUCUCUGUCCAAAUGCUAGAGAUUUACAAUGAGCAAGUGAGGGAUCUCCUUGCUAGUGAUGGUAUAAACAAAAGAUUAGAAAUUCGCAACAGUUCUCAGAAUGGGAUUAAUGUACCAGACGCAACCCAAUUACCUGUAUCAUCAACAGCUGAUGUCAUAAAUUUGAUGAACCUUGGACAUAGGAAUCGUGCAGUGAGUGCUACAGCAAUGAAUGACCGGAGCAGCCGCUCUCAUAGCUGCCUGACAGUUCAUGUUCAAGGAAGAAACUUCACAUCUGGAACUGUGAUUCGUGGUUCGAUGCAUCUUGUUGAUCUAGCAGGAAGUGAAAGAGUUGAUAAAUCUGAGGUGACUGGAGAUAGAUUGAAGGAAGCACAACAUAUCAAUAAAUCUCUUUCUGCUUUAGGAGAUGUGAUUUCCUCUCUUGCUCAAAAAAGUUCUCAUGUUCCCUACAGGAAUAGUAAACUCACUCAACUACUCCAAGAUUCCCUUGGAGGGCAGGCCAAAACGCUCAUGUUUGUCCACAUAAGUCCUGAGCAUGAUGCUCUUGGUGAAACAAUUAGUACACUUAAAUUUGCUGAACGGGUUGCCACAGUUGAGCUUGGUGCUGCUCGAGUUAAUAAAGAUAGUUCUGAGGUGAAGGAGCUAAAAGAGCAGAUUGCUAACCUUAAGGCGGCCUUAGUUAGGAAGGAGGGAGAUUCAGAGCAUUCGCAAAAUUCUGGAUGCAGCACCCCAGAAAGACUAAGAAUGAAGCCAGGAACUGGAGAUAGUAGUCGUAGGCAAUCAAUGGAUAAUGCUGGUAAUAUAGAGGUGAGGAGCAAUUCUUCAUCUUCCCUGAGAAGAAGAAGCCUAGAUCUCAAUGAUUUGCGAACAAAGUCACCUCCUUGGCCACCUGUUGGAAGUCCUGCACAGAAUGAAAAUGAGGAAGAUAAAGAAUCAGCCUCUGGUGACUGGGUAGAUAAGGUGAUGGUGAAUAGGCAUGACAAUAUAAAGAGUGGAGAUGAAGAAAACCUUCUGGGACAAUGGGAACUAGACAGCAGACAAUUGCCUGAGCCAUUUUAUCAGGGUUAUGCUCAAGACCCUUCCAAGAUUUACCCAGAACAACCCUUCAAUAAUAAAACUUCUACUGCAAAUAAUAAGGACAACCAAGAAUUUGAUGCACAGAGUCGUAGGUCUGAUGUUAUAUCCACUGAUUCUGAUGAGCUUGAGGCUGGAACAAGUGAUUCUUCCGAACCUGACUUGCUAUGGAAAUCAAAUCUUCCUAGAGAGAGCAGCCUUCCUAAUGGGUUGGGAUCUAAGCCAAAGAAGACUAAUACCAAGGCAAUCAAGAGACCAGAAACCAAGUAAGUUGUUUUUCUGUAAGCUGCAGCAUUGUUAUGGAAACCUUUCAUCUGCAUUUAUUUUGACACGUAUGAUCAGAGGUAUCUUUUUAAGAGCGCGCUCACCAUAAUAACAGGAUGCAUUCAAGAUCUUUGAAUAGUAUUGGAGUGCUUUUCAAUGGAAAUUGGAACUCCUAACCUUACCAACUAGAUCAAACCUGGUUCCAUUGCAUUUUUAAUGUGGAAGUGGAGUACAGAGAAUGCUGCUGCUUUGUAAGAGAAUUUUCUUUGUUAUUACUAACCAUUUUCUUUAUCUUUGGUUUCUGAAGCAGGAGUUUAAUUCCAUCACUAAUUCCUUCUCCAUCAAAGAAACGCAAUGGGGUUAGUCCAGUUACAAGCAAGCUUGGAAGACAUCUAGUUGCUGCUGAUGUGAAGAGGAAAACUGGCCAUGCAAAGUGAGAAUUCUACUGUGAGAUGCUGAAGGAGAUGAUGGCUU
Molecule: unclassified non-coding RNA, 4747 nt
Filed under: Hevea brasiliensis (rubber tree)
Lineage: Eukaryota; Viridiplantae; Streptophyta; Magnoliopsida; Malpighiales; Euphorbiaceae
Source: RNAcentral